Molecule: ribosomal RNA, 447 nt
Filed under: uncultured bacterium
Lineage: Bacteria
Description: bacterial SSU rRNA
Rfam family: Bacterial small subunit ribosomal RNA
Source: RNAcentral
UCGGGAAUUUUGGGCAAUGGGCGAAAGCCUGACCCAGCAACGCCGCGUGAAGGAUGAAGUAUUUCGGUAUGUAAACUUCGUAAGAAUAGGAAGAAUAAAUGACGGUACUAUUUGUAAGGUCCGGCUAACUACGUGCCAGCAGCCGCGGUAAUACGUAGGGACCAAGCGUUGUUCGGAUUUACUGGGCGUAAAGGGCGCGUAGGCGGUGUGCCAAGUCAGUUGUGAAAUCUCUGGGCUUAACCCAGAACGGCCAAGUGAUACUGUCGCGCUAGAGUGUAGCAGAGGGGGGUGGAAUUCCACGUGUAGCAGUGAAAUGCGUAGAGAUGUGGAGGAACACCGAUGGCGAAGGCAGCCCCCUGGGUUAACACUGACGCUCAUGCACGAAAGCGUGGGGAGCAAACAGGAUUAGAUACCCACGUAGUCCCUGAGCGGGCUGGCAAGGCGCAU